AAUAAAGUGCCUGAUAAAAGGGUUAUCUUGAUAGGAUAAAUUAUAUACAUCUUGUAUCUUUAUUA
This 65-nucleotide transfer RNA is filed under the name Dagualachesilloides caliensis. Its description in RNAcentral is "tRNA-Ile". The record is from RNAcentral. Lineage: Eukaryota; Metazoa; Arthropoda; Insecta; Psocodea; Sphaeropsocidae.